CGGUAAUCGCCCCUUGAUAUUUUUGCUACAAGUCUGAGCUACAAGAAGAGUUUAAUCAUGAUGUAACUGUAAGUUUAGAUCCUAAAAAUUUUCAACAAUUGUACAGUAUUGACUGCCUGUAAAAAACAAUGGCUUUGCAAGGUUAUCGUAUUACUUAAAGGAUUUGUAACAGUGUUUCAUAUUUAGUAUAUGGAACGCCACAUUAACAUUUUUAUGGGUAAUUUUGAAGAAGAAAUAUAAUCGAAUUUUCAGUACACCCAUGCUAAAAUUUUGAUUUUUUAUGGAAAAUGCAGUUGCAAGUGUUUUAUUUAUUAGUCAUAAAAUUAAUAAUUUAAAUUCAAAUAUAAUUCAUUGUCAUGGCAUGGCCCGAUAUAGGAAGAUGUAGUAUGAGUGCCAAUGAGACAAGUUGACAACUCUCCAUCGAAAUAACAAUUUAUAAACGUAAACCAUUAUAGGUCAAUGUACAGCCUUCAACACGGAGCCUUCAACAUAUAUUUAUAACUUCUUACCAAUAAGUGUGUGACAAAUAUCAUGAUUACAUGUAUUAUAAACAUACACAAAAUACAUUUCACAAACAAAACAUAUCCCAUCAAACAUAAAAAGUGAAAAAGCAAAACAAUAUAUCUACAGUAUAUAUAUACAUGUAAUAAAUAUAAAUAUAAAUAAUUAUAUGAAUAAAUCAAGAGCAGGGAUGGGGUAAUUGAAAAUGUAAUGGUAAUUAAGUGUAAUGCAGGGUAUGAAAUUAGCAGGGGCCCACUCGCCGAUGGACCCUAAAAUUUGGUGUGGGCUACUGAAAUUUCUGCUUCCCUAGUAUACCACUAUAUAUAUCGUCUACAAAAUUACUGAAGCUGUGGACAACUGUGCUAAAAAUCUUAACUUCAAUCCCUGUAAUGCAUUUCAAUUUUCCAUGUAAUUGAAUGUAAUGUGUAAUUGAAUAUUUUUUAAUUACAUGUUAUGGUAAUUUAAUUAAUUACGUAACAAUGAAAAAAGCAUGUAAUGGUAUUAUUAUUUUUAUUUACAAACUUGUAUUAUGUUGUUUUGUAUGCGUUCUUCUUUGUUAUCACCCUUUGAAAUGCUUACGGUAAGCUAGUUCAAAUAAUUAGGACGUCUUGAAAGGCUAUUAUAUUUUUUUUCUUUGACGCCUUUAUUCAUGUUAUUUAGACAACUUGAAAGUCUAUUAAUUUUUUUUCUUUCAGUUUCACGCCUUUAUUAUGAUUUGAUAGGCUAUUCUAUUUUUUUUUCUUUGACACCUUUAUACAUCGAUGUCAUAAUGCUGAAGCAAUCAUUUUCCAUGUUUUCGGUUUGACUUUGAGAGCAUAAUUUGCCCUUAACUUUGAGACCCAAUUUAACCAUUAAAUUUUCAUUGAAGGCUAAAAGUGUUUGCAUAUAUAAAUAAAUCUUACCUUUUAUGUGUUUGUUUGUGCAAAAUAUUUCCAAUUAUUCCCUACAGUAAUAAUAAAAGAAGCUACAAUUCCAUCCGAGGCGUGAACAUGUCGAUUGAUUUUUUAAAACGUUUAUCUGAUUUCUUUUAAGGAGAUUAUAAAUUAAUUUUUGCACCAUUAAACUAAAUAUCAGGCACAAUCCUUCCCGUAAGGGGUUUAGUAUCAUACCAUCAUAACAUAUAUGAGAAGAACAUAACCCGUGGCAUGCCAACAACUGUUUGAUAAAAAUGACGCAUAUUUUCCCAAUAAAAAAGGGUAGUUUUGAAUAAAGCCAACAAUAUCACUGUAAUCAUUUUCUUUUGAUUAGACUCCAGCCCAGUUGGCUACAAAGGACAAAGAACAGACAAAAAAUAACAGAAAGAAAUAAAAUGUCGAAGAAGCAAACUACAGACAUUUGCAUGACCCUUGAUGAGACUACAGGUUUUAUGAUUGCCUCCCUUGAUGAAACAACAACUUCCGGCAAUUCAUCCCUUGAUGAGACUACAACUUCCUUGAUAUCACCCCUGAACGAGACUACAAGAGCAACAACUGACCAAUUUAAUGAAACCACAAAGUCCAUGAUAUCACCUCUUGACAAGACUACCAGUCAGUUAGUUCAAGAGGAAACGAAAGGAAUGAGCCAAAAAUUACACUGGCACGUUAAAACAAAUACCAGAGAGAAACGUUAUCAAUGUAAUUCUAAACAUAUUAAUGAAAACACUUUCAAAUGUGAAAUAUGUUAUAAAGGAUUAAAGUCGAAACGGGUUUUAGAGUCGCACAUUAGAAUACACACUGGUGAUAAACCUUUUAAAUGUGAAAUAUGUUUCAAGGAAUUUAGCGAAAAACAGGUUUUGAAGUCACACAUAAGAACACACAAUGGCGAUAAACCUUUUAAAUGUGAUGUAUGUGGUAAAACAUUUGUCGUUAAAGGAAUGUUAAAGAAACACUCUAGAAUACAUACUGGUGAAAGACCUUUUAAGUGUGAUACAUGUGGUAGAGAUUUUAGUGACCCAAGUGCCUUAAAAAGACAUAUGAAAUCGCAUACUGGAGAUAAACCUCACAAAUGUGAUGUGUGUGGUCAAAGGUUUAUUAGGAAUCAGCAUUUACAGACACAUAAGAGAACACAUACUGGAGAGAAACCUUUUAAGUGUGAGGAAUGUGGUAAGGAGUUUAGUUCUCGUCGAAGCUUAAAGUUACAUACGAACACACAUUCUGUAGAUAAACCUUAUAAAUGUGAUAUAUGUGGUAAAGGGUUAAGUCGUCGUCAAAGCUUAAAGGUACACAUGAGAACACACACUGGACACGCAGAGACUGGAAAUAAACUAUACAUGCUAUAUAAAUGUGAUGUGUGUGGUAAAGUGUUUAGUCGAUGUCAAAGCUUACAGGGACACAUGAGAAUACACACUGGACAUGCAGAGACGGGAAAUAAACCGUAUAAAUGUGAUGUAUGUGGUAAAGGGUUUAGUCAGAGUCAAAGCUUAAAGUAUCACACGAGAACACAUACUGGUGAUAAACCGUAUAAGUGUGAUGUGUGUGGUAAAGUAUUUAUUCUUCGUCAUAUCUUGAAGAUACACAUGAGAACACACACUGCUGAUAAACUUUAUAAAUGUGAUGUUUGUGGUAAAGGAUUUAGUCAUAGUGGUAACUUACAGACACACAUGAGAACACAUACUGGAGAUAAACCUUAUAAAUGUGGUGUAUGUGGUAAAGGUUUUAGUGUGAAUCAUACCUUACAAGGUCACAUGAGAACACACACUGGAGAUAAACCUUUUAAAUGUGAUGUUUGUAGUAAAGUGUAUAGUCGUCGUCAAAGCUUAAAGGAACAUAUGAGAACACAUACUGGUGAAAAACCUUAUAAAUGUGAUGUUUGUGAUAAAGUGUUUCGUUUGAAACGAAUUUUACAGAAACAUAGCGGUCAGCACUUUUCACAUGUGAAAUAUGUAAACAAGGAUUUAGCAGGAAACAGAUCUUACAGACACACAGAAUAACACACACUUGUGAUAAACCUUUUAAAUGUGAUAAAUGCGGUAAAGACUCGUAGCAACACGCACAAAUAACACUACUUAGCAAUCGAUGAACAAGACGCAUGUUAUACAAUGUUAUAUUGAGAUUAGGGACCCCCGUGCAUAUUUCAAACACGAUAUUUUAUGAACUGGAAAAAGUGACCACAGUGCAGUGCCAAUAACAAACAGAUGAGAACAUAUAAUAUACUGGAUAGAAACCAUACGAUUGUAAUGAUUGGUGUUAUGGUUCAAUUGACCACAGUGCCUUUUACAAACAAAAACUGUCCAGAAAUCCCAUAAUUGUAUUGUAUGUUCUAAUGGUUUAAGUGACCACAGUGCCAAAGUAACAACCAUGAGAUCAUCAUGACAUGAUAAUAUACCGGACAGAAACCAUAUGAUUUGAAUGUAUAUUGUAAGAGUUAAAUUGACAAGAAUGCCUAUUACACAAAUGUAUUACAAACACAUGAUAUCAUAUUAAAUGUACAGAAACC
This 3915-nucleotide long non-coding RNA is filed under the name Mytilus galloprovincialis (Mediterranean mussel). The record is from RNAcentral. Lineage: Eukaryota; Metazoa; Mollusca; Bivalvia; Mytilida; Mytilidae.